GAGCUGUCACACAGACCUAGGUUUUCUGCCUCUGAUUUGUCAGAGGGGUGUGGAGACGUUUCUUCUUUCUUUUGGAGGAUUCUUCUGUGACCUUUUCCACCCCCGCCCAAUUCAUAGGCUGAACAUCUCACUGAAAGAAAGAAAAGCUUAGUUUUUAGGGAAACUGACAGAGAAGUUGGGAGAUCCAAACACUUGGCUUUCUCAAGGCAAGCACUGCAGAGGCUGUGCAGGUCGAGUCCAGAGAAGUUCCACAAAGAAUCUACACUACUCAACCAGGCACAUGCAGACAGCUCAUCGGUCCAAGGAUGGAAAAAUGAAGACGACAUGACUCUGGAAUUUGGAGAGGUGUCAGAGUAAAAAGCUGAGCAGAAGCUCACUAUGCAUGGACAGUGUCCAGAGGACCCCAUCAGAAGUUGAAGGCCUGGAGCUUACUGCAGAGUCUUCUGUGAGUCUGUCAGGAAACCAAGUGCCUGCACUGGGAGGCUGGAGACUCUGAGCUAGGAGCCUGGAGACAGACGUCCAGAGGCAUUGGUAAAGAUGGGAGCUCUUCCAAAGAAGCAAAAAGUCUCUGCUGGCCAUGUGAGAUGACUGACAACAGCCUUGAAGUCACAGCUCCCUAGGAAGUCCCCUCGGAGGUGCUAUGAGUGGAGCAGCGCUUCGCCACCAUGCUCUUCCAUUGUACUGUUUCUGCCUUGGAGCCAGCUGACCAUGGACUGAAACCUCUGAAACCAUGAGCCAAAACAAACCUCUCCUUUUUAAAGUUGCAGGUGUCAGGUAUUUUGUCCUGGAAACAGGAAAUAUGACUAAUACAACAUCCUCUAAAAGCAGAGUAAAAAUGAGUAAGAAUUUGGCAUUUAUCUAAAAUUUAUGAGAGGAUUUUCUAGAAGGAAAUAACAGUUGAUAAAGGACAGCUAGUUGGUGAAGAUCCUCAUUUGGUCAGGGUCAGGUUUAAAUCAUCUUGGCCACCUGUCCUCAGUACAGAAAGGCAGUCCUAAAGUGGGGGACUCAGGAAAGCAGAGCCAUGGGGACAGUAUGGACUCUCAAGCAGUCCUUUGUGAAUCGGUCAGCUUGGCAAUUUAGUGCAUGCCUUCCGGAUGGGCAUCAGGGACAGCCAGCUGACCAAGGCAGCCCUUCCUGCCUGAGAAGUCCCACUGGAGUGGGAAUGACUCUCGGCCAGGUUCUUGAUGCCACACUGGUCUAUCUGGUUGUAAGCUGACUCUGAGACUGUGACCAGGAGCUGGACCCCUGCCUCUGGGUGAGGAAACUGCAGAGUGAGGCUGAGGGUUAUCGCUCUCAUGAGCCUGUGAUUUAGGGUGCGUUCCAGCUCCAGUAUCCAACCAGAGUCUGAGUCAAGGGAACUAGUGCACAAUCUAGGCAUAUGAAACACCUGCUCACGGCCUGGAACUCUAGAUCUCCAGGGUGAGUUUGAGUCCAUGUCUGUGUUUGGAUGAGUGUGCGUCAGGGAAUUGGAGCGACAAAGCAGAACUUCACUGUGACGGGUUGGGUCCCUAGGAUUGGCUAUUCCUGAAUCAUGAGCCAGGCUAGGAAGAGAAGUGAUGGAUAGACUCACAAAAAUCUGAUUGGAGCAGAACAGGAGCAAUUCCCCUGAAGGAAAGGGUAAAGUUCUUUCAUAAAAAGCUGGAUGUGGUGGCACACCCCUGUAAUCUCAGCACUCAAGAGACUGAGGAAGGUGGAUCUCCAUGAGUUCAAGGCUAGCCUGGGCUACAUAGUGAGACCCUGGCUCAAAGACAAAAACAAUAGCAACAACAAAAACCAUAAAAACAGAAAAAUGUUGCCCGGCUUAAUGGCACAUGCCUGUAAUCCUAGCACUUAGGAGACUGAGACAGGAGGAUCUCUGCAAGUUUGAGGCCAGCUUGGGCUACAUAAUGAGUUCAAGACCAGCCUGAACUACUUAGUGAGACCCUGACUCAAAAAACAAAAACAAACAAACAAAAUCUAAGAGGGGGGGUAGGUGCUGGGCAGAGGCAAGACAGCAGACGUCUUUUACAAUUCCUAAUCUCUUCAGGCUCAGCUCAGUUGUCCGUUCCUGAUGCCCCCGUCCCUCUGGUGGGUUAGGUGUCCCUCUCCUGGCUCACAUUACCUCCCAGUUGCACUGCUGUGCCUGGGCUCAUUUCCAAUUGUUUCUUUAUGCACGAGCUCUUCCAAGACAGGUGCCAUGGCUUAUUCCAAUUUGCACAACCAGGCUCUCAGGUUCCAUGAAUGUUCAUAAAGCAGGACCGAAAGGGAUUCCCAAGUGACUGAAAAUCCUCUUCAGAGAAAGACGAAAGAGCGUCCUAAACGUACAAGGACCAGGUAUGGAUAAAUACUUUGAUUAGGCAACUUCUUUGAUUCUCACAAUCACGACACUCAAGGGAACAUUGUUCUUGUAUUUUGUGGACUGGAAGCGAAAGG
Molecule: long non-coding RNA, 2412 nt
Filed under: Heterocephalus glaber (naked mole-rat)
Lineage: Eukaryota; Metazoa; Chordata; Mammalia; Rodentia; Bathyergidae
Description: lncRNA (ENSHGLG00000043860.1)
Source: RNAcentral